This is a microRNA precursor of Oryza sativa Japonica Group (Japanese rice), 203 nucleotides long. It matches the Rfam family "MIR812 microRNA precursor family". Lineage: Eukaryota; Viridiplantae; Streptophyta; Magnoliopsida; Poales; Poaceae. The record is from Rfam.
ACAAACUAUGGUUCUUCGUUCUUCGUGUCCAACGUUUGUCUAUUCGUCUUAUAUAAAAUAUUUUUAUAAUUAGUAUUUUCAUUAUUGUUAGAUGAUAAAACAUGAUUAAUACUUUAUGCGUGACUUGUCUUUUUAAUUUUUUUCAUACUUUUUUUAAAUAAGACGGAUGGUCAAACGUUGGACAAAAAAACCCAUGAUUUAUA